AUUGAACGCUGGCGGCAGGCCUAACACAUGCAAGUCGAACGGUAACAGGAAGAAGCUUGCUUCUUUGCUGACGAGUGGCGGACGGGUGAGUAAUGUCUGGGAAACUGCCUGAUGGAGGGGGAUAACUACUGGAAACGGUAGCUAAUACCGCAUAACGUCGCAAGACCAAAGAGGGGGACCUUCGGGCCUCUUGCCAUCGGAUGUGCCCAGAUGGGAUUAGCUAGUAGGUGGGGUAACGGCUCACCUAGGCGACGAUCCCUAGCUGGUCUGAGAGGAUGACCAGCCACGCUGGGAAAGAGACACGAGCCAGAGUCAGCAGGGAGGCACCAGGGGGGGUUAAUGAACACGGGGCGCGAGACUGAUGCUGCCAUGACGCGGGUAUGAAGAAGUCAUUCUGGUUGUAAAGUACUUUCAGCGGGGAGGAAGGGAGUAAAGUUAAUACCUUCGCUCAUUGAGGUUACCCGAAGAAGAAGAACCGGCUAGCUCCGUC
RNAcentral lists this ribosomal RNA (490 nucleotides) under uncultured bacterium. RNAcentral describes it as "partial 16S ribosomal RNA". It matches the Rfam family "Bacterial small subunit ribosomal RNA", at positions 30 to 507 of the family's 1533-position model. The record is from RNAcentral.